AUUCGGAUUGAAGGCUGAAAUUCGCCUUCAUGAAGCCGGAAUUGCUAGUAAUGGCAGGUCAGCAUACUGCCGUGAAUACGUUCCCGGGCCUUGUACACACCGCCCGUCACACCAUGAGAGUUGGGAAUACCCGAAGCCUGUGAGCUAACGUAAGAGGCAGCAGUCGAAGGUAGAAUCAAUGAUUGGGGUGAAGUCGUAACAAGGUAAC
Molecule: ribosomal RNA, 208 nt
Filed under: uncultured bacterium
Lineage: Bacteria
Description: partial 16S ribosomal RNA
Rfam family: Bacterial small subunit ribosomal RNA
Source: RNAcentral